This 609-nucleotide ribosomal RNA is filed under the name uncultured organism. RNAcentral describes it as "bacterial SSU rRNA". It matches the Rfam family "Bacterial small subunit ribosomal RNA", at positions 201 to 827 of the family's 1533-position model. The record is from RNAcentral.
GUAAAGCUCCGGCGGUUUGAGAUGAGCCCAUGUCCUAUCAGGUUGUUGAUGGGGUAAUUGCCUACCAAGCCUAUGACGGGUAGCUGGUUUGAGAGGAUGAUCAGCCAGACUGGGACUGCGAUACGGCCCAGACUCCUACGGGAGGCAGCAACUAGGAAUCAUGCGCAAUGGACGAAAGUCUGACGCUGCGACGUCGCGUGAGGGAUGAAGGUCUUAGGAUCGUAAACCUCUUUUAUCUGGGAACAAGUUCUGAGUGUACCAGAUGAAUAAGUGCCUGCCAACCACGUGCCAGAAGCAUCGGUAAUGCGUGGGGCACGAGCGUUAUCCGGAUUUACUGGGCGUAAAGAGAUGCGUAGGCGCCUUUUUAAGUCACUUGUAAAAUCUCCCCGCCCAACGGGGAAACUGCAAGUGAUACUGAAUUGGUUGAGUCAAGUAGAGGAGAGGGGAAUUCCUGGUGGAGCGGUUAAAUGCGUUGAUAUCAGGAGGAAUACCAAGUGCGAAGGCACCUCUCUGGACUUGUACUGACGCUAAGGCUCGAAAGUGUGGGGAGCAAAACGGAUUAGAUACCCGUGUAGUCCACACUGUAAACGAUCCCUGCUAGAUGUUUGC